UGGGGAAUAUUGCACAAUGGGCGCAAGCCUGAUGCAGCCAUGCCGCGUGUAUGAAGAAGGCCUUCGGGUUGUAAAGUACUUUCAGCGGGGAGGAAGGGGUUAAGGUUAAUAACCUUAGUCAUUGACGUUACCCGCAGAAGAAGCACCGGCUAACUCCGUGCCAGCAGCCGCGGUAAUACGGAGGGUGCAAGCGUUAAUCGGAAUUACUGGGCGUAAAGCGCACGCAGGCGGUCUGUCAAGUCGGAUGUGAAAUCCCCGGGCUCAA
This 265-nucleotide ribosomal RNA is filed under the name uncultured Enterobacteriaceae bacterium. RNAcentral describes it as "partial 16S ribosomal RNA". It matches the Rfam family "Bacterial small subunit ribosomal RNA", at positions 355 to 612 of the family's 1533-position model. Lineage: Bacteria; Pseudomonadati; Pseudomonadota; Gammaproteobacteria; Enterobacterales; Enterobacteriaceae. The record is from RNAcentral.